RNAcentral lists this small RNA (423 nucleotides) under Pongo abelii (Sumatran orangutan). Its description in RNAcentral is "retained intron". The record is from RNAcentral. Lineage: Eukaryota; Metazoa; Chordata; Mammalia; Primates; Hominidae.
CUUUCCAGUUUGGUCUCUGUGUUAAAUCUGAUGCUUUUUCCAUCAUUUCUUAACCUUCUCAGGGAAAGAAGGAAUGAGAAACAUUAGUCUUAACGCAUCGAUGGAGGUUUACUAACCAAAUUAGUUAAAAAUCAGCAGAGAGUCAGGCCUCUUGCCAGGUGCUGGCUGAAGAUGCAAUCAAGGCUGCCCUGGCUGAUUAUAAAUUGAAACAAGAACCCAAAAAAGGAGAGGCAGAGAAGAAAUGAGCCCUCCCUUGGCGAAGCCUCCAGCAGGCCACACCAGCUGUUUCCCACCUGCCGUGCAGCCACCUUAGAUGUUCAGAAGCCGCUUCCUCUCCACUGAAGAGCUAUGAGAUACGCACAAUACUUGCUGUUCAUGUUAUGACUCUUAUGCAAGCAAAAUACACAGUUUCAUUGUUCUGAA